RNAcentral lists this non-coding RNA (409 nucleotides) under Mariprofundus ferrooxydans PV-1. RNAcentral's name for it is "cspA thermoregulator". It matches the Rfam family "cspA thermoregulator", at positions 160 to 428 of the family's 428-position model. The record is from Rfam by way of RNAcentral. Lineage: Bacteria; Pseudomonadati; Pseudomonadota; Candidatius Mariprofundia; Mariprofundales; Mariprofundaceae.
UGUGCCCUGCAGAACAUGGUUGUUGAAAGUGUUGUUUGGCCGGCUCGGAAGUUUCUUCUCGAUUAUCCCAACGAACAGUCUCAUUUGAUUAAACAUGCAUGCAUAAUUUAUCGAAUAACGAUUGAGGUAUAAUUCAAAUGGCAACAGGUACAGUAAAGUGGUUCAACGAUACUAAGGGCUUCGGCUUUAUCGCGCAGGAUGAUGGCGGCGAUGACGUGUUUGUACACUUCUCCGCAAUCCAGACAGACGGCUUCAAGUCUCUGCAGGAAGGUCAGAAAGUUGAGUUCGAAAUCGAAGAUGGACAGAAGGGCCCACAGGCUCGCAACGUCACCGCUGCGUAAGCAACAACACUUCAGUACAACAAUAUAAACAUCAACAACGCCCCGUCUGGAAACAGACGGGGCGUUUU